This 465-nucleotide ribosomal RNA is filed under the name Vreelandella stevensii. Its description in RNAcentral is "partial 16S ribosomal RNA". It matches the Rfam family "Bacterial small subunit ribosomal RNA", at positions 338 to 795 of the family's 1533-position model. Lineage: Bacteria; Pseudomonadati; Pseudomonadota; Gammaproteobacteria; Oceanospirillales; Halomonadaceae. The record is from RNAcentral.
CCUACGGGGGGCGGCAGUGGGGAAUAUUGGACAAUGGGGGGAACCCUGAUCCAGCCAUGCCGCGUGUGUGAAGAAGGCCCUCGGGUUGUAAAGCACUUUCAGUGAGGAAGAACGCCUGGUGGUUAAUACCCAUCAGGAAAGACAUCACUCACAGAAGAAGCACCGGCUAACUCCGUGCCAGCAGCCGCGGUAAUACGGAGGGUGCGAGCGUUAAUCGGAAUUACUGGGCGUAAAGCGCGCGUAGGUGGCUUGAUAAGCCGGUUGUGAAAGCCCCGGGCUCAACCUGGGAACGGCAUCCGGAACUGUCAAGCUAGAGUGCAGGAGAGGAAGGUAGAAUUCCCGGUGUAGCGGUGAAAUGCGUAGAGAUCGGGAGGAAUACCAGUGGCGAAGGCGGCCUUCUGGACUGACACUGACACUGAGGUGCGAAAGCGUGGGUAGCAAACAGGAUUAGAUACCCGUGUAGUC